Molecule: transfer RNA, 77 nt
Filed under: Citrobacter phage Mijalis
Lineage: Duplodnaviria; Heunggongvirae; Uroviricota; Caudoviricetes; Andersonviridae
Description: tRNA-Arg
Source: RNAcentral
AAUCCUCUAUUCUGCACCAAUUUAAUAGGGGAUUAGUUUACACGGUUAAAACCUCGGUCUUUGAAAUCGAAGAAGAU